RNAcentral lists this transfer RNA (75 nucleotides) under Podarcis lilfordi (Lilford's wall lizard). RNAcentral's name for it is "tRNA.Asn". The stretch from base 9 to 67 matches the Rfam family "tRNA", at positions 8 to 63 of the family's 71-position model. From Rfam's summary of the family: Transfer RNA (tRNA) molecules are approximately 80 nucleotides in length. Their secondary structure includes four short double-helical elements and three loops (D, anti-codon, and T loops). Lineage: Eukaryota; Metazoa; Chordata; Lepidosauria; Squamata; Lacertidae. The record is from RNAcentral.
AUCUCCCAUGGCACAAUGGGUCAGUGUGUUUGGCUGUUAACCAGAAAGUUGGUGGUUCAAGCCCACCCAGGGAUG